RNAcentral lists this ribosomal RNA (1040 nucleotides) under Triticum aestivum (bread wheat). RNAcentral describes it as "partial small subunit ribosomal RNA". The record is from RNAcentral. Lineage: Eukaryota; Viridiplantae; Streptophyta; Magnoliopsida; Poales; Poaceae.
GUGCACGGGUGCAGGAGGGUAGGGAGCGGGGAAAAGGGAGACUUUGGAGGGUGCGGCGUAGAAGAGAAGAGCGAAGGGACGACGGUACGCGGUUGGGGCGGCAGUGGGCAGCUAGGCCGACGCCGCGACGCGUGAAGGUGGGAGCAACGGGAGGGACCAGGUUGUUGCAGUGGACGAGGGAAGUUGAGGGUAGAGCUAGAAGUACCGGGAGUCUAGAUCGUCGGGAGCCGGUACUGCGACGGCCUAGACCGGCCGAACCGGAGCAGCGGGGUUGGCUAUCCACGAGCUGCGGCGAGGAGUCCUAAGUCCUUGCGUCGUCAGAAGAAGCAGUCGAGAUAUAGGGGGGUGGAGGAUGCGGUACAUAGUCGGUAGAUGGGAAAGAACUUCGAGGAGGAGUAGGUUCACCGGUGGACUACAACGGCUCACCUGGUGCGAGUGAGCGCGGAAGCGGGUGGUCAUGGUCCUAAAAGAGCACAGAAAGUUCAACUUAUGGGCCCUCUACCUCCUCUUAUCUACCACGGUACCGCCCGACGAUACCACCACUCCAAGUGCAAGAUGUCACUCCGGUACCUGUAGCAACAAACGUACACCGUCAACCCGGAUAGACUUCUCGUUAUUACAUUACGAAAACUCGAAUCCGUUUACUUCAACAUAAAUUUUCGCCUGCUCUACUACAAACAGUUGUGCUUUGACUUUUCCCUACACUUUGUUAUGACCUCCUUAGCACUAGAUACCGUUCCCACUACUACAGAUACCGCUACUAACAGUACUAGAUAUACCGCUACUCGCCAUACUAGGUAUACCACUACUUCCCACUACUCAGAUUACUAGAAAGAAGUCCUGUACGUUGUUUCACUUGAGACUUCAAAACCAGUUAAAAUCGAAUCCUUAUUACGAACCUGGCAAUAUAUAUCAAUGAUAAAACAAAACGUAAAGUUUGAAGGAUCUAUCUAGUACUACUUGUUACAUUAAACCUACGUGCAGUAAACCCGAUACCAUAAAACUUUCAACGCGAUUUAUAUUAUAUACAACGAACCAGU